Molecule: non-coding RNA, 106 nt
Organism: Nicotiana sylvestris (wood tobacco)
Lineage: Eukaryota; Viridiplantae; Streptophyta; Magnoliopsida; Solanales; Solanaceae
Source: Rfam
AUACUAUGAUGUGGGCAUUUUUUAGUAUUGCUUUUAAUCGUUCUCAUGCUUGGUAUACAGAUUCAAUAUCUGUUUGCACGAAAUUAUUGAUUUCUUGCUUUAUUUU